ACCGGUGGUCAAUCACUGCUAAUUAAAAGAAUGCAGCCUUGGGAGCUGAGUAAAGCUGGUUUUAGGGGUAACAAAGGGAACAAAGAACAAGUCUCUGACAUAUAUUACAGACACCACAUAUACAGUAAAUUUGAAUGUAAUACGGAGUUGGAGACCAGGAAGGAAAAAGCAAGCAGUACAGCAUGUUAGAAAAUGUAUAAAAAUAGCCAAAGUGGAUGCCAGUGUGAAGAAGAAGAAGCUAUUGACAUCAUACUCCUCCCAGCAAAGAGGAGGAAGAAGCCCUUCCCUUUAAAAUCCUACUCUCCAGGUGAAGGGCUUGGGAAACUAAUGACUUUUCAUACCUCCCCCAUCCAGAAGGAAGCCAUCAACCUUAUGACCCAAAGGAGCACUGGAAGGUUCGGUACCAGAGAAAUGGGCAGGCUACCAUGAGACUGACAGACUCAUGGUCUCAUUCAGCCUUUCUUCUACAAUGCCACAUGGACAGACAACUUCAUUUAGUCAAGGAAGCAUUUGGAGAUGUGGAAGCCCACCAGACAGAGCCCGAAAGGAGUCAUUCAGGACGACCUCCCUCCCCUUGGGACCAACGACCAAGUUCGUGAUGCCCUUGGACUGAAUUAAGGUGAAACGACACCAGCCAACCAGUUUUAAGAUUUAUUAACACAAAGAUAAGGCAUGUGGUCAAAUAAGAUAAUUCAAUGGCGAAUACUGCAAAUAGCUAGACAAGUCCCAUGCCACACGUUUCAAACAGAUCUUACCAACAUUCGACAAAAGAGAGGGAAAAAGAGAGGAAAAGGGAGAGAGAGAGAGAGAGAGAGAGAGAGAGAGAGAGAGAGAGAAAGAUAUCACCACCCGUGGAUCCAGCAGCGUCCCGUUGGUCCUCUUCCUUUGGGAGUCUCGGCGGUGGGGAGGCUCCCGUCUGGUGGUAGGUGGGUCCUCUUCACCCUGGGUGUAAGUUUUGGCGAUGCGCAUGCAGUAAUUACAACUUGAGCAGGGUCUGACCCUAGGUUCCCGCUGAAAAGCUCAGAGCCAAAUCAAGGCAAAUUAAAUAAAUAAAUUGUAAUGACACACGUGCAGUGGUUACAGCUCGAGUUGGGUGCCUCCAAAGAGGGACCCUGAACAAAGAGAUCCCUGGGCAAUUAUAGCUUUUUUCAAAUUAAGUUUCCCACCCCCACAUGGUAGCUCGGACCAAUAGUAAUUUUUGGGGUUUGGGGUCUCCCGCUCUUUAUUGGGUCUCAUUGUUGUUCCUAGGCAGGCUGUUUCUUUUCUCCCUUAUCUUUACUGUUGCAGUUUCUGCCGACAGAUGUGUCUUCAUUCCUCAGGUCCCGCCAUCAUCUCUCAAGGUCCUGACAAAGAGGUGGUAACUCCAGCCAUUAGCACUGUUUCAGCAGUGCACAGGAAUGCAAACUGCUGAUAACUCCCUUAUCAUUGCCACCUGCACCAGCUCUGGGGCCCUUUCACACUGAACUAGGGAGUGCGGCCUAAUGCUUCAGCAAAUUUAGCUACUCAUGCUAAGCAAGUUUUAUAGAAGUUGUGCUAAAACAAGCAAUAAUUUACAGUCCAGGUCUCAAAGUCUCUGCCCAAUCAUGGUCUGGUUCAGCGCAGGCUCGGUGUGUCCUGGGUGGUCGCAGGGAGACCAUUUCAGGGGUCGCAGCAGCUUAGUCCUGUUUCUGCCAGGGACAGAUGGCUUGGUUGGGGUUAUGGUUUGCUUGCACCUUAUGUACCAAGAAAUGCUUAAGGCAAAAGUUCACUCAUCUGUCCGCCACACCUCUGUUGUAAGUUCUCUCCAUUUACAGUUUCCUAACAUUUCUUGGAUGUUUUUUUAGGCUUUAAUAACUUCAAACAUGAGCUCAUUUGUAAUUUGUUGUCAUCUCUUGUGAACCUUAUUCAAUAUAAGACUUUCUUAAUACAUGGUUUUUGCCUUUAUGCUAACAGUAUGCAUCCUCUUACUAUCAUAUGAAAUCUACCCUCUGCAAGACCCCGUUCACUACACUUAGCCACUCUUCCUCCAACACUUGUCUGGCUCCUGUUUAUGGCUGGCUUAGUAGACCGAACUCAUGAUGUCUUUAUUCUGUCUUUUCCAUAACACUAAGAAAUGAUUUUCUUGACUAGUCUGAACUUUGAACACACUUUCUCGGAAGGAAAUUUAAAAUAGCUACACAGAGCUACAUUGAGGCUCUUCAGCCAAAGCGAACCUAAUCUCCUCCUCUCAAGAUGUUUCUAGUUUAGUUAAGAAAUAUACUUUUUUUGACUAUUUUUCAAGUGCAGGAGACUCAAAAAUCCCACCAAAUCCAAUAGAAGUUGUGGCUAUGCAGCAUCUCUAGCAUUCACUGAAUAAAGUUUUUGGCAACAUCUCAGUUCAUUUCUUAUAAGCUCUGGUACUCUGUCACAAAUAAUGGCUGUUUAAAAGCCAUUUUAGGUCAUUGAGCCAUCACUUUUCACAUAGCAAUUUCCCACUUCUGUCGCUUUGACUACUUUUCGCUUUCUCACUUACCCAACUUAUCUUCAUCCCUCCUUCUACUUGCCAGCCACAGGUCUGACCUCUGCACACUGCAGUAUGGGCACCAGGCCUGAGCACACCAAUGGGAGAAUAACAGCAGGAUGGGGGUGCCACUUGCUAACGUUGUAAGUAGCAAAUGCAGGUGAAAGACUGCAUUAAGACCUUUUACAGUAUAAUAGAUUCUUCUUUAAAAUUGUGUUUUGCUCCAACCAUUACAAUUAAACAAUAUUUGUAAAUUGAAAGUUCCUGGACCUUAAUUCAGUCAGGUCUAUUCAGUGAUCAGUAUGGGCACCUCUGCCAAGACUGAGUGAACCUAUUAUUAAAUUUUGAAUUCCAAUUUCCUCUUCCCAGUUGUCAUCGUUGACAGUGUCCUGCAGGAGAAACAGGUUAUGCCACACUUGACUGUGUUAACUUCUGCAGCUUCACAAACCACUCCUUAGUGAUCACUAACUGCUGAACAACGUGGCAUUCAUAAAGCCUUAAUGUUGUGUCUUUUUGAUUCAUUUUAUAUAUAAUAUAUGUAUAUGUAUAUAUAUAUAAAUUAAAUAAUUCCUUGAACAUUGUUUUAAAGCUUUAGCUCCACAGGAAAGGCAACCUGUCCAUCUGCCUUUUUUAAUCCUCCAUGGAAAUCCAAAGUCAUUGCAUUAUCAGUCAUUGGAUUACAUAGACAACUAAGCCUUCAGACUCAUUUCUAAACUGUUUGCUUUUCCUUUUACAUGGAAAAAUAUUUUCAUAUAAUCCCUGGAAGAUGCUUAGGAAACAGAUAAGGACUCUCAAAGUCAGUCUUACCUUUCUUCAUCCUGUGAGGUUAGCUGCUCUUUCUGAGUCUUCCUAUAGAAAUAUUGAAAAUCCUUCCCCUCCAGGGCAGUGAACUAACCUAGACCAACAGAGCCCAGCUACACAAGGCGUUAUUAGUCAUUGUCCUUCUCUAGCUCUAGUCUAAGCAAUGGAAAAGGACUCAGACUUCUCCAUUUCUAGAAUACACAGUAGAGGCAACAGUAAGAAAGUGGUAACGUUUUAGGAAGAAGUCUCUCUUAAAGGUUUUCUUUUCAUUAUAUAGAGGCCCAGAAACUGAAUCAUGUUUUGUCCCAGUAGAGGGUGCUACUACUCUUAAAGAGGCAUCGAUUAUAAAAGUCCUGCAGUUCAUCAGCAUGCUUUGACUACUGGAAGUCUUACUGUUACAGUAGGAAUCAGAUUUUUAGAUAGAGUCAGACUGCUAGAGGCACAAGGCAGAAUAACACUUUGUUGUGCCAGAAGCAACAUCUUCAACAUCAGCAACAA
Dromaius novaehollandiae (emu) is the source of this 3778-nucleotide long non-coding RNA. RefSeq lists it as uncharacterized. Lineage: Eukaryota; Metazoa; Chordata; Aves; Casuariiformes; Dromaiidae. The transcript is spliced from 3 exons. The record is from RefSeq and is a predicted model, not a curated record.